This 497-nucleotide ribosomal RNA is filed under the name uncultured bacterium. Its description in RNAcentral is "partial 16S ribosomal RNA". It matches the Rfam family "Bacterial small subunit ribosomal RNA", at positions 28 to 507 of the family's 1533-position model. The record is from RNAcentral.
GACGAACGCUGGCGGCGUGCCUAAUACAUGCAAGUAGAACGCUGAAGAGAGGAGCUUGCUCUUCUUGGAUGAGUUGCGAACGGGUGAGUAACGCGUAGGUAACCUGCCUUGUAGCGGGGGAUAACUAUUGGAAACGAUAGCUAAUACCGCAUAACAAUGGAUGACACAUGUCAUUUAUUUGAAAGGGGCAAUUGCUCCACUACAAGAUGGACCUGCGUUGUAUUAGCUAGUAGGUGAGGUAAUGGCUCACCUAGGCGACGAUACAUAGCCGACCUGAGAGGGUGAUCGGCCACACUGGGACUGAGACACGGCUCAGACUCCUACGGGAGGCAGCAGUAGGGAAUCUUCGGCAAUGGGGGCAACCCUUAACGAGCAACGCCGCGUGAGUGAAGAAGGGUGUCGGAUCGUAAAGCUCGGUUGUAAGUCAAGAACGGGUGUGAGAGUGGAAAGUUCACACUGUGACGGUAGCUUAACAGAAAGGGACGGCUAACUACGUG